AUUGAACGCUGGCGGAAUGCUUUACACAUGCAAGUCGAACGGUAACAGGUCUUCGGAUGCUGACGAGUGGCGAACGGGUGAGUAAUAUAUCGGAACGUGCCAGUCGUGGGGGAUAACGUAGCGAAAGUUACGCUAAUACCGCAUACGAUCUACGGAUGAAAGCGGGGGAUCGCAAGACCUCGCGCGAUUGGAGCGGCCGAUAUCAGAUUAGGUAGUUGGUGGGGUAAAGGCUCACCAAGCCAACGAUCUGUAGCUGGUCUGAGAGGACGACCAGCCACACGGGAACUGAGGCACGGUCCAGACUCCUACGGGAGGCAGCAGUGGGGAAUUUUGGACAAUGGACGCAAGUCUGAUCCAGCCAUUCCGCGUGCAGGAUGAGGGCCCUCGGGUUGUAAACUGCUUUUGUACGGAACGAAAAGGUUUCCAUUAAUACUGGGAGCUCAUGACGGUACCGUAAGAAUAAGCACCGGCUAACUACGUGCCAGCAGCCGCCGUAA
RNAcentral lists this ribosomal RNA (497 nucleotides) under uncultured bacterium. RNAcentral's name for it is "partial 16S ribosomal RNA". It matches the Rfam family "Bacterial small subunit ribosomal RNA", at positions 30 to 523 of the family's 1533-position model. The record is from RNAcentral.